RNAcentral lists this transfer RNA (64 nucleotides) under Ocypode cordimanus. RNAcentral's name for it is "tRNA-Tyr". It matches the Rfam family "tRNA". Rfam says of the family: Transfer RNA (tRNA) molecules are approximately 80 nucleotides in length. Their secondary structure includes four short double-helical elements and three loops (D, anti-codon, and T loops). The record is from RNAcentral. Lineage: Eukaryota; Metazoa; Arthropoda; Malacostraca; Decapoda; Ocypodidae.
GAUAAAGUGGCUGAGUUAUAGGCGUUAGAUUGUAAAUCUAAGAACAAGUAAAACUUCUUUAUUA